Molecule: transfer RNA, 57 nt
Filed under: Diaphorina citri (Asian citrus psyllid)
Lineage: Eukaryota; Metazoa; Arthropoda; Insecta; Hemiptera; Psyllidae
Rfam family: tRNA
About the family: Transfer RNA (tRNA) molecules are approximately 80 nucleotides in length.
Source: Rfam by way of RNAcentral
UGGCGUAGUGGUCACUGCGCUCGCCUCGCAUGCGGGAGACCCGGGUUCGAUUCCCGG